UUUCCGUAGGUGAACCUGCGGAAGGAUCAUUAAUAAAUGGUCUACGUUUUUAGUAGAGCAUUAAUAAUCCUACCCUUUGUGAAUUUGUUGUUUUGAAAUAAUUUUUUUUAAAAUUAUUGAUGUCUUUCCCUGUUGAAUUGGUUGUCGUAAGACAAAUGAUUCGCAGGGGAUGUCAGUAAUUUUUAAAAAGACCUUUUUUAAAAUUAAACUUUUUGUAUUCAUUUGUCUAAAAUUAUUUUUAUAAUAUAAAAACAACUUUUGACAAUGGAUCUCUUGGUUCUCGCAACGAUGAAGAACGCAGCAAAAUGCGAUAAGUAGUGUGAAUUGCAGAAUACGUGAAUCAUCGAAUCUUCGAACGCAUAUUGCACUUUUCUAGUUUACUAGAAAAGUACGUCUGUUUGAGUAUCAGCAAAAUAUUCUCAUAAAAACUAUUUGUUUUUAUGGUUAUGAGUGUUUUACAACGAUACAAGUUGUUUCACUUUAAAUUUUUUUUUAAAAUUUGAAAUUUUUUCUAAUUUUAAUAUAAAAUUGGAUAAAAUUUUCCCGUAAAAAGGAAUAACCUAAACAAUUUUAUAACUAUUAGAAUUUUUUCAAAAUAAAAAGGAAAAUUUAUUAAAAUAACUUGAUCUCAAAUCAGAUAAGAGUACCCGCUGAACUUAAGCAUAUCAAUAAGCGGAGGAAAAGAAACUAACAAGGAUUCCCUUAGUAACGGCGAGUGAAGCGGGAAGAGCUCAAAUUUGAAAUCUUCAAGGUUUUACCUUGACGAAUUGUAGUUUAAAGAAGUGUUUUCUGUUGAAGUUUUGGUAAAAGUUCUUUGAAAUAGGACAUCAUAGAGGGUGAGAAUCCCGUAUUUGACCAUUAUUUUCAGCUGUGUGAUACACUUUCAAAGAGUCGGAUUGUUUGGGAAUGCAGUCCAAAAUGGGUGGUAAAUUUCAUCUAAAGCUAAAUAUUGGCGAGAGACCGAUAGCGAACAAGUACCGUGAGGGAAAGAUGAAAAGAACUCUGAAAAGAGAGUUAAACAGUACGUGAAAUUGUCAAAAGGGAAGCGUUUGACACCAGUGUUGUUUUCUCGAAAAUCAAUUAAAAAGAGUUUGAUUUUGUUGUGUAUUGACCUUAACAACUUGCAUUUCAAUUUUCUUGCUUUUUUUAAUGCACUUUUCGUUUAACAAGUCAACAUCAGUUUCUUUUGUUGUAAAAAGGUCAUUGGAAGGUGGCUUUCUUUUCGGAGAAAGUGUUUAUAGCCUUUGACUUCUGCAAUCGGAGAGACUGAGGUCUGCAGCGUAGAUCCUUCGGGGUUAGAUACAUUUGUGCUAAGUUAUAGCUUUUAUAGACAACUUGUUGACUAUGAUUAGUCUUGUAGCUUACUCGCUUAUGCUAUUUUACCUACGCUUAGGAUGUUGAA
This 1402-nucleotide unclassified non-coding RNA is filed under the name uncultured Neocallimastigales. RNAcentral's name for it is "partial contains small subunit ribosomal RNA, internal transcribed spacer 1, 5.8S ribosomal RNA, internal transcribed spacer 2, and large subunit ribosomal RNA". The stretch from base 624 to 1402 matches the Rfam family "Eukaryotic large subunit ribosomal RNA", at positions 1 to 630 of the family's 3401-position model. Lineage: Eukaryota; Fungi; Neocallimastigomycota; Neocallimastigomycetes; Neocallimastigales. The record is from RNAcentral.